UGAUGUCUGUUGUUAAGUCAUUUGUCUUCUGACUGCUCAUUCUGUCGUUCUCUGUAUGUGGGGCAGAUCCAGGUUAUGCUGGCCAAGUCUGAGAAGUCCUGGCUGGAGUCACAUAUGAACUCUGACUACACUUUCUGCUUGUGUGCUGAGGAGACCAAGACUUUUUAUUAGGAUGUUGCAGCCAUCAAACUGGAUGAGAAGAGCAGAGGAGACAGACAACAGGAAGUCACCUGGGAAUUGCUGUGCUCCUCAGGCCAUAGCUCAAGCUAAUCCACUAUCCUGCUUUGCUUUUACACCGAGGUCAGGAGCUCGUAUAGUCCAGUUCCCUUUUACCAUGCUGGUUAGGUUAUUGGUCUCUCCAACCCUGUGGGAGUCUCAAUUCUCGGCACUCCAUUUCCGUAACCCAGCACUCCAGAACAUGGUGAGCCUUUAACACCAGUUCUGUAUGUUGGCUAAUGAUGUCGAGCCAUGCACACAGGGAGAAGAUGAAGAUCACUUUUGAGCUUGGGCACCAGCAUGCAUUCUCCUUACAUUGCUAGUUUGUCCUGCAUAGAAAUCUCAGUUUCUUUGUGCUGGCUCCUGCUAGGAUGGAUAGAUUGGUGGAGACUUUUAAGGGAUCUUUUUUUCUUCUAUCAGUGCCAGGUAAAGUCAACUUCACUGUCACCAUAGAGGCCCUCAAUAGCAGAGACCUGUGCAGCAAUAAGAAAGUGACUGUGACAGACAAAGGUCACCGUGAUACACUGGUUAAGCAUCUGCUUGUCCAAGAAAUUCCGUCUGGAACAUGGUCUCUCUGCAGCUUCCUGAGAAUGUGGUUCAAGGUGCAACAAGGGCCCAAGCGUCUGUGCUGGCCACCAAACCAAGAUGUGACUGACAUGACUGCAAUUUCCACAUAUGUGAGAAUGCCAAAGGGGAUGAAUGACAUGCACAGAAGCUGAUGAAGCCAAUUGGAGGCUUGCAGAAGACAGUAACAAGGAGAACUUAUGUGGUUGAGUAAAUGUUGAGAGGAUUUGUGGUGGAAGGCCGGCAGAAUUACAGGGUAAGUAGUGACACUACAGAAAUAAGCCCCGUUUACCUGAGUAUCUGAUCUUUGCCUGUGCCUUGUUGUCCUUUAUCUUUGAUGCCCU
RNAcentral lists this long non-coding RNA (1124 nucleotides) under Dromaius novaehollandiae (emu). RNAcentral describes it as "lncRNA (ENSDNVG00000017571.1)". The record is from RNAcentral. Lineage: Eukaryota; Metazoa; Chordata; Aves; Casuariiformes; Dromaiidae.